UCAUGUUAAUUCUACUGCAAACAAUAUCCCUACUAGACAAAGGUUGAGGCAUCGAGGUGGAGGUGCGGGUGGAGGCAGCUCUGCAGGAAGUGGGCCUUCUUCUACUGCCUUUAGUCGGCAGCCUCCCCCUCCACCACCUCCAUUUCCUGUGUUUGACAUGCAGCCUUAUGCUAAUAUGGUACCACCUAUGCUGGACACUCCUGUGAGAGGAACGAGACCAGGAGGAGGAGUUGGGGGUUCCCAGCCACACACCAGCAAUGAUCAUUCUUCUCCAAGGAAUAAUUCAAGAAGGGGUAACUAUGGGACUCGCCCUCGUGGAGAUGGGCCAUAUCAUAACCCUCCACCACCUCCAUUUCCUGUGUUUGACAUGCAGCCUUAUGCUAAUAUGGUACCACCUAUGCUGGACACUCCUGUGAGAGUAACGAGACCAGGAGGAGGAGUUGGGGGUUCCCAGCCACACACCAGCAAUGAUCAUUCUUCUCCAAGGAAUAAUUCAAGAAGGGGUAACUAUGGGACUCGCCCUCGUGGAGAUGGGCCGUAUCAUAAUAAUCAUGGAGGCAGGAGGGAUCAAGAUCGCAGAGAUGUUCAUCUUUCCCAUCAAUAUGUUCCUCCCAUGGGAUAUAUGCCAUCCCCAUUAGCCCCUGGCCCCACACCGUUCAUGGCGCCACCCGUAAGAGUUUUUCCUGGCCAAAUGGGGUUUGGUAAGUCUACUAUGCAUGCUGUCCUUUGAUAAUUUGACGAUAUGAACUUGUUUUGUUGCU
This 761-nucleotide long non-coding RNA is filed under the name Olea europaea (common olive). RNAcentral describes it as "long non-coding RNA (OEUR_LNC011186)". Lineage: Eukaryota; Viridiplantae; Streptophyta; Magnoliopsida; Lamiales; Oleaceae. The record is from RNAcentral.